Phalacrocorax carbo (great cormorant) is the source of this 2148-nucleotide non-coding RNA. The record is from RefSeq and is a predicted model, not a curated record. Lineage: Eukaryota; Metazoa; Chordata; Aves; Suliformes; Phalacrocoracidae.
CACCCUGACCCUUCUCCGUCCAGGUUUGAUUCAGGAGGCGGAGCUGGCUUAAGUGGCGGCAGAGAAGUGGAGGGUGAAGAUGGCUCUCUUGAGUAUCCCGCUCCCAUCACACAUGAAGAGGAAGAGCCAAAGUAAGAAGGAACAAAGGCGGGGAGCUGAGGGCAGACAACUCAAAGCGGAGAGAAGGCGCAUGCUUGUUACAGUAAGGGAUAAGUUAACCAGCCUCCACCCAAGAUGGCGUAUUUGCAGCCUUCCAGCCCUUUACAGAUGUGAAGCAGGAACAGAAGGGAAGGAAGAAAAUUUCUCACUGACCUCAUUUGUAAAACGAGUAGCAGGGGUUGCUAAAAGCCACUGCUUCCAACUUUGCCAUACACUGGUAAAUGACAUAUAUGCACACAAUGUGUAUCGUAGGUAAUAACAAUAUAUAGAAAAUGUAAAGUAUUCAUAGUAGCUUCAAAGUGGUUCUGCUCACAUACGUUCUAAGGGUGCAUAUGAAUGCUGCAGGUGAGCGAAACCUGGGUCACAGACUUAAGCUGCUUCCCACUCGGUGAUGCAGGACUGGUGCUAGCCUUGGUAAAGGAGACAAAAGCCUGGCUGAACUCCUUUCCCCACCCUCCAGCCCCUGUGGAAAGUCAGCUACUGUAACUGCGGAGCCAGCGGACUGCCUGGCUCCAGGGGCAGACACACUGUACUGCUUUCCAGGGCCAGCCACUUUUUCCACUUUCAGGCAGCACAGAGCUUGCAACGGUGAGAACUGACACCUCCACCCAGCCCGUGCUCAACUAGGAGCUCUAGAGAAGCACGAUCCAGACGUAUUCGAGUGCCUCAGUUUGGGCACAAGCCAAGCUUAUGACCUUCAGCCCCGGACAGCUGCUUUGAGGCAGCUUGGACACUUUUGCUCUGUAGCAUUCCAGGUUUCAGGAAAGAUGAACAUUUACACUAGUCCCAACACUCUGCCCAACCGAAUAAGCCUUCCCUGAGUCUGAAAUGCUCAGUUCAAAAAGCAGAGCGGUUUUACAGCUAAUUAGCUUAUCUGGACCUGCCAGGCUCCUGGGCAUGAGCACACCUCUCUCAGCAGCCUCCCUCACACCCCCAUGGCCCUGGUGAGCUCAGCCCUCUUCCUGGGCACUGCAGCCUGACACACCCAGGCACCAGCCGGCAAACCCUGCUCCAGCGGUGCUGCAGCUGCUCUGAGGAGCAAAAUCUUUCUUUAAAACCUCCCAUCCAUGCACCUACCCCUUUACCCAAACUUCAUUAGUAAAGGAAAUUGAGCCUUGCACAUUAGAAACUUUACUCCAGUAAAGCAUGGCAUAGUUACAGUUUCAGCACAUGGAAAUCUUAGAAGCUAUUUGCUGUUACUUAGUUAAGUGACAUGUUAAUUAUGCAGAAAAUUAAAGGCUGCACAGGCCUCACUGCAAAUGAGGGCUCCUCUCCCUUUUGACAAUGACAUUUUAAUUCCCAGAGACUUGAAUACACACUCACUGCAGGCUUAAGAUUGUAGUUACCUGUUUGUUUGUAAACUAAGUCAAAACUAAAAAUGGAGCACGACAGAGUUAAACAACACUAGGAAAAACCCCUCCACAGCUGCAGAGACAAAACCAAAAAUAAAGCACCAAGAACACCUUAGCCUGAGAAGCUAUUCCUUUCAGGCAUAACAGCAUAAGAACUGGAGCAAUAAAAUUUCAGUCCUGAAGUCCACGCACAGAGACUUCCUGAAAUAAAUUUAAGAUGACAAUGAAUAGCCAACUAACAGCCAUCAUUAACUAUUUAAUUAAUAAUGUGUUGAAAUCUGUAUGGAGACAACUGAAAAAUCUGCCUCCAAUGUAAACAUUUUAGCAUUGAUACACAAAACAGUCAGUAGUAACUACAAAAGACACCCCUCCUCCAAACUCUGAAUGAACUGCUGCAACAGUACCUAUAUGUAUACACGCACACUUCAAAAAGCCUUCAAGGUCUAGUGCAUUACAAAGAUAUUUUGCAAUCAACUUUAACACCACUUACUUGUUUGCCAUUAUGGAUAUCCGUAAUAUGAAUGAAUCUCAGACAAGCAAGUUUAACUUUAUGAUACUAUUACAAAGUGUGUGUGUGUGUGUGUGUGUGUGUGUGUGUAUACACACACACACAGGCAAAGUUUCCUUGUUACUUUCA